AUCUAUUUCCACCGGCCACCCACCAUGGUCUUCCCACGGGCAGCCUUUGACCUAGAUGGGAAGCAGAGCGGGCAAAAAGGCGUUAAUGAAAAUGACAAGGGGUGAGAGAGAGGUGCUACUGGAGGUCCUCAAAAGAGGACCAAGCUAUUGCUGGUUGAUGCUUGCAGGGAAGGAGAUCUUCAGUAGCACCUUCCCUAGCUUGGGGGCUGAGCCAGUCAGUGGGGUUUGGGACUCCUUGGGAACAAGCUCAUGUGUUUUACCAGGUGUUUCCAAUCAGCCCCCAUAGCCUCCCUCCCUAGGCUCCUCCCUCCCAACAAAUAAAGGACCUCCAGCUGUAGGGGUUCGGUGAUGCUUGCAGAAUCCCUCUUCUGAGGUUCAGAAGCUGCCAGCUGGGACUGGCUGCACUGUUCUGCUUAUCCAGAACAAGGAGAACAGAAACCAUUGGAGUCCAACAGAGGGAAGGAACCUGCCCGGCCUCUGCUCUCAUCCCCAGCUCUUCCUCCCAGCAACACCCUCUGCUUUUGGGACACCCCCGGUAUAUGCCCGUCCCCUUCUGCUCAUAGGAACCCCUCUCUGCAGCAGCACACGACGCUGUGGGACCAGCCUGUGGUCCAGCCCCCCCCUCCCAGGAGGACCGGCAGCUUCGGUGCAACCCCACGGGCAGGCUCGUGCCUUCUGCAUGUAGCCCCCGAAGUGCAGCAUGUUGGAGAAAGCUUUCUUCUUCCGAGCUUCCUCCUCAGCCUUCUUCCGUGCCUCCUCUUCCUCUUUGCGAGCUUUCUCCUCCUGCCGGGGAGAGAAGUGGGAUGGAACAGAUGGAUGGAAACCUCGUGGACCAAUGUGUACGCGACGCACAGCUCGUGCUCCUGCGUGCCCCACGGGUGGGUCUGUGUGGGGUGGGUGGUGGUGGGCCAUGUGCUGCAGGGAGCCCCCAGCCCUGAGGAAGACUCACGGCCAUGCGGGCCUGGCGCUCCUUCUCCCUCUCGCUGCGGAUGCGCUGCUGCUCUGCCCUCUCUGCCCUCCGCUGCUCCUGCAGAGGGAGAGGACCAUGGCCGGGAUGUCCCAGGACAUUCCCUUCAUCUCUUGGGACCCCAAGUACCCUCAGAGCCCCAGGGGCAGCUCUGCUGCUCCCCCAUCUCCAUAUGGGAUGGGUAUUACAGCAGCUUCUCAGCCCCUGGGCACCAAAUUUGGCUCAAAUCCCAACCCCUCUCUGACAGAGGGACAAGGGACGUCUCAGGUCUUGCUGAGUGUCGGGGCUGUUCGCCCACAGAGGGGACAGGCUGCCCACGUACGAUCCUGUCCUUGAGGGAGAUGAGCUCCUCUUCCUCCUUCUUCCUGCUCUCGAAGUGGGCUUCGAUGAGGGCCUGCAGCUCGUUCAGGUCCUUCUCCAUGCGCUUGCGGUGGAUGUCCUGCAGUGGACAGAAAUGAAGGCGACGGCCGCGCUCACAGCGGUGAAGCCCCCCAGGAGCUGCUGGACACGGCAACGCCAUGAUGCUGCUGUUAGAGGCACUCACAUCGAAAUCCAGGCGCUCGCCAUCGGGGAUUUUGGGAGGCACCAGGUUGGGCAUGAAGGGCCUGAAAGCCACAGUCCCUGCCCCAUUUUCAUGCUUUUAGGGCUUCACUGUCCCAUGUCCCUUACGGAUCUCACCGUGACCAUCUCACUAAACCAUGGUCCCCAGGAACAGGAGAGAGAGACAUUGUUAGCAGCACACGUUGACCCCAAGCCCCACAAAAUCCAACAACCCCUUCCUCCCAGCGGCACAGGCACAUCAUCCUCCACCAAAGCAACGCAGUGAGGUGCCCAUCUGUGUGCCAAAAUCUGAGACGUGCAUUGAUGCUCCAGGCAUUCAGGCAGCUGAAUUCAACAUUGGAAACCCCGUGGCAAGGAGACAGUGUCGUGGGAGAUUGAAAUGGCCAAAGAAUGUCCUUUCUUCACCUUACCUUCUCCUGGAGCUUUUGUUUCAUCUUCUUGUUCUGUCUCAAAAGUAAGGGGGAAAGCGUGACCAGAGCACCCGUGGGUGAGGACAAUGACAUGUCCUUUACACUCUGCCUUGUGGCCACCAGGUGUGACAGCAUGGGGACACAGACCACGCACCUUCCGCCGUGGCUUCCUCAGUCUCCUCUUCCUCCUCGUCUACCUGGUCCUCCUGACCUGUGCAACAAGGACAGGGUCAGUGGCACAGCCGCAGCUCCUGCUGGCUCCCUCCAGACCCCCAGAAUGGGACAAGUGUGGCACUGAGUCCAAGAGACCCAAAGGAGAGGGAGCUAUAGGAGAAAGAAGCAGAAAGCAAAGGGCUUUGCUCUAGCCCUUACCCAAAGGCUGCUCUCUGUUCAUGGGCAUGGAUGAAGGGGAAUACAAUCAAAGGAAUAUAGCCCCCUCCUGGCUUUGUCCUUCAUUCCCUCCCCAGCUGAGACCUUGGACCCCAGAGCGGAGGAGAUCAACUUCUGUUGCUCUCCCCCACCCAGCAAAGAAUGAGAUUGCACGGCAUAAAUCUCAUGCAUGGCACUGUUGGAGGAUUUUUCCACUGGAGGGAGCAGUACCCCCAUGAGAGUCCACUGUCAGAGCCCACAGGUCCUGCAGAGAUGUGCGGUCCCACAGCAAGAGAGGAAGAAAGGAAAAGAAGACAGCGACCCACGGGUAUGUUUGGGUGGAAGACAGAAAGCACAGCAGUGAGAGCAGGUGGGCAGAGCACAGAAGGAUGGGGAGAGUGCAACAAGCAGCAGAGAAGUGAGAGAAUGAAAGAAAACCGUUUCCCAACCAGGGAAAGGCACAAGACACACCGACCCGCGAUAUAUUCACAGCAGCAGUGGAGAGAUGAAACAAAGAAAGGUGCAGUAACUACCGUCUUCUUCCUCAAGCCAUUCUUCCUCUUCUGAGCCGGGGGAAGGGAACAAGCGCAGAGGUUAGUCAGGUGCCCUAAAGCCGUGGGGCAGAGCUACGGCGUGCACAAGAUGAGGACUCCAGCCCUCCGACCCUUUGCUUUUAGCACUCAGGUUGCUUUGCUGUGCGGCAGCUCUGAAGCAGCAGGAGCCCCAGCAAACCCCAGCUCCCACCCGGUACAGACAGCCCCACUGCUGCAGCGUGGGGUUUGGUCCUGCACCGUGCUGAUGUAGUUGGGGGUUCUGCUUGAGCACCGUUAAUGUGCAUUUGGCUGAAGCUCCAGCUCAUGUUGAGUUAUUGAGCUCGCACUGCUCCACAUGCACACAUCCAGCAUUGCCACCUCCCUCUUUGGGUCAAGGGAUCUCCGUGGGAAAAGAGAUCCUGAGGAAAUUCAGGGUGGUUUUCAUCCUACCUAUGUUUGAGGUGGAGGAAUUCAGACUGUGAUCCCAUCGGCCUUUUCUGGACAGUCCACCCACAGCAAGGAUCUGACCACCACCGCCACCCCUCAAGCAAAACCCUGAACCAACAGCUCUUGCCCUUCCAGCAGCAGGAGGAACACCUACCUUCUUCCACGUACUCCUCUUCAUAUGAGUGCACAGGGGAGAAAGGGAAGAGAAAGAAGACGUGGGUUAUUGCAGUGACCCCCAUUGUUGCUUAGCAUCGUUCUCAAGGCGGCUGUGGAUGCUCCACGUCCCCUUACCUUCCUGCUCCCUGCAAAGCAUGACACAAAGAAGCCGAGUUGCAGCAAUCUGCUGCAGUGGGGCACGUACAUCCAGCAGUGGGGCCGAAGGGGAGCUGCCAUUUCCCCAGGGCUGGGGACCCCUUUCCAUCGAUCCCUUCAUCACCCAGCUCAGAUAUCCAUCCCCUUCUCUGCAGGAGCACUUCAUGGUCCUAUGGCCCUCACCAGCACGAAGUGCCCUCAGAGCUGGGAUGCUCAGAACGUGGCAAUAGGAUCCCAUCAACCACAGACUGAUAGUUGGACUUCUCUCAGCUCUGCCCCAUUGCUUUAGAGCACACCAUGUUUAGGGCAGGGUCCGUUCCUUUGCAGUGCACUGGCUCAUUGGCUCCUGAUGCCCAGCUCCCCACUGCGGGGGUCUCGGCACAGACACAGCAGUGAUGCCUGUGGGCAUGGGGGGGGGGGAUGCUGAAGUGCUCUCACAUUAGGUGCUGGAAAGCAGGAAUAAGGAGAAAGAAAGAGCGUUGGAAACCAUGCCACUUACUGCUCAUACUCUUCAACGACCUCUUCAGAGUCUGACAUGCUUGGUUAUCUACCAGAAUGCAAGGCAAGAUGGAAAAAGCAAGGGUUAGAAGCUGAGAUAAGGACAAGCACAGCCCGUCCUGCUGCUUCUCCCCAGAGCACUUGGAGCUGCGAGCUGUCCCCAGCCGGGCUGCGGCAGUGAUAUCUCAGGAGAGAUAAGGUUCCUCCAUCCCCUUCCAUUCCAGGAUCGCACCUCACCAUGGACAAGAGGCAAGAGGUCUGGCACAGCCCCAUGCCACGCUGAUAGCCGCUGCCAGGAGUUGUGUCCAGGACACGCAGCUCCCUGUGCUGGAGCCAUCCCAGGGCGCUGCCUUUGCUCAGGGCAUGGGAAAAUCACCCAAUGAUAAUGCCCAGCUUGGUUUGCUUCCUGACUAUUCUUAGCUCAGCUGUGAUAUGAUGACCUGCAGGGAUGUUCUGUUAUCUCCACUCUACAGCCCUGCACAAGAUCUUGGUGAGACAGCCCGGCCCUCCGAGAGCAGGGGGGACAAGGUGAGCUCAGCAGGGGCACUGCACUCCUGCUCCUGGCCCUGAGGCUGAGUUCAGCCAAAGGGGACAAUAAAUCACAGCCGAGUGUAGCAGUAGGGCUGAGCAUAGCUGAAAAGGUGGAAAUGUCCGUGUUGCAUCUUCCUAGCAACACCCAUCUCCCUCCCAGUUGUGCUUGGGUGAUACCGCCCAGCCGCACAGCGCGGGGCAGCCCUAGAAAUAACCUCCCUGUGCCCAACCACCUGUUCCCAGAGCAGCUCCCUGCUCUCACUGGGCGUUGUAGGAACAACUGCUCCUGACUGCAUCUGUCGGGUAUUUAUUACCCGUGAUGGGUAGGAGCGGCGUGGGGAUCGCUUAGUAAGGAUGCUGAGUGCAGGACUGGGACCUGCAGACGUGGGGAAGACGUGCAGCAGUGGGGAUGCCUCAGCGUGCUGUGCAGCUGUCAGAUCUCCCUGCUGAGCCGUGACUCAGGGGGGGCUUUUUGGAGACCAGUGAAGUCAGAACCCAGCCUUGGGUUCACUGCCCAGCUGCUGCCAGGGCCCCUUUCUUUCUGGCUCAGCCCCUCGACCUCCUUGGCUGCCAUUUGGGGCACGGCAUGGCCCUGCUGCCCCCAGAGUUUGGCCAAACCCUUUGCGUGGCUGCUGGCACCCAGGGCUCCCAGGAGCAGAGAUCCCUUCCUGGCUGGGACACGUUCCCAUUCACCUCCUGCAUCACCACAUUCCACCACACAUUUGCUGAGAAACAGCAGCAAAACCAGAACUGUUGAGGGGGCACAACAGAAAAGCCAAUGUUACCCUGGAAUGUGCCUGUAAGAACUAUCUCUCCAUCCUCUGCACAGAAACUGACACGGAGAUGGGAUAAAUAUUCCAGUUCAAGCUUUGACCACCCGUUCUGAAACAACCAGGAGCACCCCAGCUCUAACACACGCUGCAGGCUUUGCUGGUGCUCCUGCGGGCAUCGCAUCCCCCCCCCAGCAUCACCAGGGUUCCAGGGGCACCCCGAAUCCUUCCCAGCUCCUAACAACACCGGCUGUGAUGCCGACAAACCCACUGGAGAAGGCUCCGGUGCUUUACCCGGGGGAAUGCCUCCACGCCAGGAAGACAUCCCAAUGAGAGCAGCUGGACCACACUGACCCCGAGCCAAACCCCUGCUAGAUCGUCACCUCCUGGAGCUGAGCAUCCCCAGCCUUACCUGUGCUGAGGUCCCACGGAGCAGUGGGGAGCCGGCGGCCGUCUGGGAAGGGCUCCUUGGGGGGCAGAGGCUUUAAGGGCCCCCCAGCACCCACCCCGGGGCGGGCAGAGUCAGGAGGAAUGUGCCCGGCGCCCAGAGAGGAAUGCAACACUUGUGAGCUGCUAUUUCGGCAGCAGCGGCCCCGGCCCCCUCCGUGCUCCCCCUUCCCCCCCAGGAGCCCAUAUAAGCCCAAGCUAUUGUGUGGCCUCAGAGAUUUGCUAUUUUAAACCCGUCGGAUGGAGAUACGUGAGUGCCCGAGGGGCUGACACAAGCCAGCCAGCUGUCACCUCCCAGGGCUGGGGACGCUGAUAAGGCAGCGCUUC
This is a long non-coding RNA of Numida meleagris (helmeted guineafowl), 6172 nucleotides long. RefSeq lists it as uncharacterized. The transcript is spliced from 5 exons. Lineage: Eukaryota; Metazoa; Chordata; Aves; Galliformes; Numididae. The record is from RefSeq and is a predicted model, not a curated record.